Molecule: ribosomal RNA, 496 nt
Filed under: uncultured bacterium
Lineage: Bacteria
Description: partial 16S ribosomal RNA
Rfam family: Bacterial small subunit ribosomal RNA
Source: RNAcentral
ACGAACGCUGGCGGCGUGCCUAAUACAUGCAAGUUGAGCGCUGAAGGUUGGUACUUGUACCGACUGGAUGAGCAGCGAACGGGUGAGUAACGCGUGGGGAAUCUGCCUUUGAGCGGGGGACAACAUUUGGAAACGAAUGCUAAUACCGCAUAAAAACUUUAAACACAAGUUUUAAGUUUGAAAGAUGCAAUUGCAUCACUCAAAGAUGAUCCCGCGUUGUAUUAGCUAGUUGGUGAGGUAAGGGCUCACCAAGGCGAUGAUACAUAGCCGACCUGAGAGGGUGAUCGGCCACAUUGGGACUGAGACACGGCCCAAACUCCUACGGGAGGCAGCAGUAGGGAAUCUUCGGCAAUGGACGAAAGUCUGACCGAGCAACGCCGCGUGAGUGAAGAAGGUUUUCGGAUCGUAAAACUCUGUUGGUAGAGAAGAACGUUGGUGAGAGUGGAAAGCUCAUCAAGUGACGGUAACUACCCAGAAAGGGACGGCUAACUACGUG